Long non-coding RNA from Xenopus tropicalis (tropical clawed frog), 1225 nucleotides. RefSeq lists it as uncharacterized. Lineage: Eukaryota; Metazoa; Chordata; Amphibia; Anura; Pipidae. The record is from RefSeq and is a predicted model, not a curated record. The transcript is spliced from 2 exons.
CCCCCAUCUGAUCAGUUGGUAUGUGGGGGGCAGUGGCUGAAAGGUGCAUAAAUGUGGGCUGGACAGUGGUCAAGGGAGCAACCUGGGAAAAGGAACCUGGGGGAAGAACCUGGGAGGAGCACCUGAGGACUGGAUCAGAAGUGACCGGGCAGGAUGUGAGACAGACCAGAGAGAGGAGGCCAUGGUUACAGAAAAGGAACAAGAAAACCAUGUUCUUGGUUUAUUGUUCAAAAAUCUUACACCGCUGAGCCUGGUCUUGCCACUUUCUGAUUCCGUGUUCCCUGCCUAUGCCCUGCCUGUGCCCUGCCUGGUCCCUGUUUGGUUUCCCUGGUUUGACUUUUGCCUGACUCCUGAUUUGCUUGAACCCUGCCUGAACUGACCUCUGCCUGAUAAACGGAUGUGCUUGAACCCUGCCUGGACUGACCUCUGCCUGAUAAACGGAUGUGCUUGAACUCUGCCUGGACUGACCUCUGCCUGCUUCCUUGGUUAUCAUACUUGGCUGUCUGGCCCUUUAAGGGAGUUCCGGGGGUUAUUUACAUAUAGGCUCCUACCUGCUGGUCUCUCGCCAGAGGCCAGCCCUGACAGUUAUGACUUCCCACAUUUCUUCCUGUUACAGUUAGAACUGCAUUACUUCUGGUCAGGUUGAUCUCUGAGGGUCAAACACACCAUCACAAAAUGAUGGCUCAAGGUAAAAUAUGUAAAAGGACUAUAUUUACUGAUAUAUAUCCCAGUUUGGUAAGAUUCUUUAGUAGGCCACUAAAUAUGAUGUCAAAUCUGUUGGUUAAGUAUUUAUUUUGGGGUAUAGUUUUCCUAGUUGUCAUUUAAGCAUUAGAUUAAAUGACGACCAAACCUUAUUUUCUACGUGAUGAUUUGCGAUAGUCCCUAAGCGCAGCUACACACAGCUGCCACUCCUAACAAAAUCCAAGAUGAUGAGCUCUUGUAAUAACUUUGAAAGCCUGGAUCAUUACUGUUGAUUCUUUAGACUUGUACAUUAAGCUUAGUAUAUAAAAUAUACCAUUUCUAUCAAUAUUCGAUUUUAGGGUUUAGUUCUCUUUUAAAGCUUUAGGAAAUGUCCUUUGAUGGGAACAGUAGGUAAGGGUUAUACCCAGUGAGUGCUGACAUUAAGUUGUCCAGGCAAGAAAAAUGUAUGAUUGAAUGACAAUUCCAUUUUCUAAUGUUCCAUGUGAAUUAAUUUUUUUGAGUAAAUACUUCUGUAAAAAGAUAU